UGCCAAGGGAUGGGAAUCGAACCCACGACCUUCCGCUUACCUGGCAGAUGCCAUAACCACUAGGCUACCCUGGA
Molecule: transfer RNA, 74 nt
Filed under: Cordylochernes scorpioides
Lineage: Eukaryota; Metazoa; Arthropoda; Arachnida; Pseudoscorpiones; Chernetidae
Description: tRNA-Thr
Source: RNAcentral